CCCGUGCCUUCCUUGGCGCGUGGGGGCGCGUGCCACAGUAAAAAAUUAUUUUAAAAAUUUUUCGACGUCCGUGACGUCGAGUAGGUCAAUGUGGUAUAUUCAUAUACCCAAUUUGAGCACCGUAUGAGAAGUUAUUAAGAAUUGUUUGUUAGGUGCUUAAAUAAUGUUUUAUAGUUUCGCAUUUAGGUGAAAAUGUGAAUUGACGAUCCGACCGUUGGAUCGUCACCAAACUUUGAUGCGUUGUAAUACGUAAUAAUUGAGGAUUAUAAGAAUUUACGGAUUGGGAAUCCGAUUUACGGAUCUUCCGGAAUUGGAGUUGUAAGUCCAUAAUAUAGAAUGUUAACCGUCACUUAGUUUUGUUAAUUGACGGAGAUCCGACCGUUGGAUGGUAAUGAAAUUUUAGGAUGUUGUCCUAGAGAUAUAUUGUGGACCUCUGGAAGUUAUGGAUUUAAAAUCUGAGUGGCAGAUCUUCCGGAUCGAACUUCGUAGUGACGUAUUUUAUAUAAGUUAUAUAUUCUAUCGAUAUGAAUUCUGAGGUUGGAUUUGAUUAUUGUUUUAGGCGCCGAUCGUCAUGACGCCUUGGCGUAUUCUGCUAGGGAGUUGUAGGGCGAACUCCAGGUGAGUGGGCAGUUUUGAUUUCGUAUUACCUAUAUACAACUGUUUUUCCCAGAAAAUACGUUUUUAUGAAAGUUAUGAAUUAAUUUGCCAUGCAUGCAAUUGUUGAGAUAUCUAGAUUGAUAAUUGAUGCAUAUAUAUGUGAAUUGACGCGGUGGACGCACAUGUGAGUUUUAUUAUUAUUCAGCUGAGUUAUUUAUAUAAAUUGCAUUGAAAGCUCAUAAGCUGCACCUAGGUGUUAGUGCUUAUAUUGUUAUUCACCACACCGCACGCUCGUCUUGGAU
This 899-nucleotide long non-coding RNA is filed under the name Malus domestica (apple). RNAcentral describes it as "long non-coding RNA (MDOM_LNC008469)". The record is from RNAcentral. Lineage: Eukaryota; Viridiplantae; Streptophyta; Magnoliopsida; Rosales; Rosaceae.